Long non-coding RNA from Eriocheir sinensis (Chinese mitten crab), 1296 nucleotides. RefSeq lists it as uncharacterized. Lineage: Eukaryota; Metazoa; Arthropoda; Malacostraca; Decapoda; Varunidae. The record is from RefSeq and is a predicted model, not a curated record. The transcript has 4 exons.
CAUGAAGAUGAUGAGGUGACUACACGCGCCCACAUAGAUGCACUGAAUGCAGAAUUGAGAAAAGGGUCACCUGAUCUUGCAGUGAUUGCUGUAAAAAUGGACAGAACAUUUGUCUACCGUUGGAAAAGGAUCAACGAUCAACGUUUGUCAGUGGCUGACAUCAUCUCAGAGUUUCCAGCCCUGAGGCGAAGAAAUUUUCUUGCAGGGGAAGCUGAACGACAUGGUAUUUUGAAGCCCCUUGAAAACUCUUACCUCCAACUCCAUACAUCACUACUUGAGUUGAUGAAGUAUACCAAGUCCCGUUGCAAAGGUUACAAAGAGUACUUCUCAAAAUACCAAGAGGACUUGGACAGCAGUCUGAAUGAAGAUAAAAGAAUCGAAUGUGGCCUGCAGUUUGCUGUGCAACUUCUGCCAUCGCUUUUUAGAGAGGAUGCGACGUAUCUACUCGCUGAUUCGAAUGAGAAUAUCAAAUCUCCAGCUCCAGUUCUUACCUGUGAAGGAGGCGAAUACCAGCUUCACAUCAACGGGGCACCUCUUCUGGCAACAAAAUCAUCAAAGUUUACAAAUGCUUUGGAAGCUCUGUUUCAGUCAUAUUGGGUAUUUUCGUUGGAAUACCCGAAGGAAAUAGAAAAGACGUUACUGUUCUUAGAGUCAUACAUAUUUCAACACAAUACUAAACUACCUGCAUGUGUCUCUACUUGGUCAAAAAAGAUUGGUAUGAAGUUAUAAUUUUCUUCAUUAACUUAUAAAAGACUGAAUUUACUUUAUCAAUGCCAUACAUGACUGAUGAUUGGCGUUAUUUUUUUUUUUUUUUUUUUUUUUUAAGAUAACCGAGUGCCAUAGGAACAGGGUCAGGGAUGUGUCAGAGGGCAUGAGAGAAAUUCACUUUCUUUUCGGUAUCCAAUAUCAAACCUUUAACACUGCCCGACAGAAAUCCUUUGUGUUUCAAAGUUUUCUACAUAUGUUAUUGCAAAUUUACUAAAAGAACUCUUCUUUCAAUAGUAAUUAAGCAUGUAACUUGUCUUACUCACCGUUGUCUAUUUUAUGGUUUUUAGAAUAGCAAAUUUAUUUCAAGGACAUGUUCUUUUCAGAGUAAUUAAGAAUAUCAUAUUUUUUUCUUUUAUUUAGAAGCUCUACGUUUAAAGACAAAGAACACUUUACUUUACAUUUUUGUCAUGCUCAGCCGCAAAUGUAGAACUUAUCUCUCAUUGGCUCAUAUAGGUUAAAUAAAUGCUAUGUGGUUAUAUGGCAUUGAUUUUCACGUAUAAAUUUGUUUUCAUGAAAAUGAUAUGUAAG